UAUUGGACAAUGGGCGCAAGCCUGAUCCAGCCAUGCCGCGUGAGUGACGAAGGUCUUCGGAUUGUAAAGCUCUUUUGGCGGGGACGAUAAUGACGGUACCCGCAGAAUAAGCCCCGGCUAACUUCGUGCCAGCAGCCGCGGUAAUACGAAGGGGGCUAGCGUUGUUCGGAAUUACUGGGCGUAAAGCGCACGUAGGCGGAUUUGUAAGUCAGGGGUGAAAUCCCGGGGCUCAACCUCGGAACUGCCUUUGAUACUGCAAGUCUCGAGACCGGAAGAGGUGAGUGGAAUUCCUAGUGUAGAGGUGAAAUUCGUAGAUAUUAGGAAGAACACCAGUGGCGAAGGCGGCUCACUGGUCCGGUCUGACGCUGAGUGCGAA
RNAcentral lists this ribosomal RNA (376 nucleotides) under uncultured bacterium. RNAcentral's name for it is "bacterial SSU rRNA". It matches the Rfam family "Bacterial small subunit ribosomal RNA", at positions 362 to 757 of the family's 1533-position model. The record is from RNAcentral.